This 215-nucleotide long non-coding RNA is filed under the name Pelobates cultripes (western spadefoot toad). The record is from RNAcentral. Lineage: Eukaryota; Metazoa; Chordata; Amphibia; Anura; Pelobatidae.
GUCAAGACUGGGCCAAGAAAUAUCUCAAGACUGAUUUUUCUAAGGUUUUAUGGACUGAUGAAAUGAGAGUGAGUCUUGAUGGGCCAGAUGGAUGGGCCCGUGGCUGGAUUGGUAAAGGGCAGAGAGCUCAGACGCCAGCAAGGUGGAGGUGGAGUACUGGUUUGGGCUGGUAUCAUCAAAGAUGAGCUUGUGGGGCCUUUUCGGGUUGAGGAUGG